AGGUGUUUGGCCUUCAAAGCCCCUCAAACACUGAGAAGAGAACCAGCUUCUGCUUUGAUACCGGGUCUGCGGUGCAGAAGCGCUGUCCGCUGUGUGAGGUGAUCUUCCCUCCCCAGUUUGAGCAGCGCAGCUUCGAGCAGCACGUGGAGGCCCACUGGCGUGUGUGUCCCGUGUGCAGCGAGCAGUUCCCCCUGCACACACAGCAACUGCUCUACGAGAGGCACGUCCUCACGCAUUUUGAUGGGAAUGUUCUCAACUUUGAGUAGCUACCAAUUACCAGGAACAGUGCUAGUGUGUGUGUGUGUGUGUGUGUGUGUGUGUGUGUGUGUGUGUGUGUGUGUGUGUGUGUGUGUGUGUGUGUGGCUGUCUGCUGUCGAGAGACUGUGGUGAAUAGACUGCUGAUGAUGUGUCUUAAGUGAGGAAGGCUGUAGGUGACAGUUGACGGCAUUGCCAAACAUUACAGCUGCUUUUAAAGUUCAUGUGAGCCACACCAGUGGUUCUUUUGAACUACCACCAGACUUCUCCAUCUUCUGAGCCCACCACCUCCACCCAAUGUGCUGUGUACACACUCAAUCAUUGGCUGCCACUGAUACCACCUCCAUCCAAUGUGCUGUGUACACACUCAAUCAUUGGCUGCCACUGAUACCACCUCCACCCAAUGUGCUGUGUACACACUCAAUCAUUGGCUGCCACUGAUACCACCUCCACCCAAUGUGCUGUGUACACACUCAAUCAUUGGCUGCCACUGAUGCCAACUAUUUCAUUUCCUUGCUGCUCAUCAGUGUUGGUUCUAUAUCCAUGUCCCUUAGCCGCCAUAAUAGAGGUCAUUACAUUAUUACAUUACAUUACAUUACAUUAUUCAAUCUCAGAAUAUCUAUUAUAGCGAUGGAUGGCUAGCAGAAUAUAAAGACUACCAUAAGUCUACCAUAAAUGUAAUGUACAUCAGCUUUAAGCAUCCUGUUUCCCUACCUAUAAACACAUACACCCUUUGCUUCAUACUCACGUAUGCACAGAUACAUGCACACCUGGCAGAUUUGAGAUGCAGACACAGAGACUCUCAUGUGACAUUCUCAAACGCUCAUGAUCUGAAACACAUGGCUGUAUAAUUUGCUAGAGAUGAUUGGUGGCAUGUGCUACAGUCCCUGCUUGAGUCGCAGUGCCACCCUAUGCCAUCAGAUAGUCUUUGUGAAUAGCUCUGUUCUAUGGGGUGUUAAGAUGUUAUAGUAUGUCCAUUACUUUUGGGAACCGGACGAGGAACUGAUUCUGGUAGCGGAGAUCACCAGUAUGUGUCUAACAUAUGUGGAGCUGAACGGUGAAAGAUAGCAGUGGGGCAUUAGCAUUUAGGGGUGGAUCUGCACAUCUACAGAUUGUUUGUAUAAACAGACAAAAUAGUUCUUGUGUUAUUGUAUGUUGGGUAACACAGUAAAAUGCUGACAGCUUUAUGUGACUAUUGUAUAUUGUAAUGGAAUACCUUUGUGGGAGUUCACUUUAGUCUGAGCCUGUGUAAUGCUAUCACACUUUGAUUGGUUUGACAAACAAACAAACAAACAAACGUGUUUCCAUGACCUGGAACAGGGAUCAACAACUUGGGUCUGUUUUAUUUACGCAUCGUCUGGAAUCAUGACUCAUCUGUGGGGGUUUGGAAUCAGGUUAUGAUGAAAUAGAAUUGCAUUCUUUCAAACAAAAAAUUGCAUGUAGUUAGUGGUCCUGCUCAACAUCAAGUCCUCAUAGAACAUAUGUACAGGUCUACUACACUCCUGCAUAAAUACAAAUGUUUUGGGGGUCAGGGCACUUUUAUAAACGUUUCAUUGUUUUCUCAAUCGGGAGAAGUGUCUGUAUUAAGAGCAAAUAUGAUAUAUGGAAAUAUGUAUAAUUGUACAUGUAAAGAAGUUUCAGUGCACUAAAUGAAAUGAAAUUGACACUGCAAAGGCAGUCUGUUCUCUUUGACAUCAUUCUGCUGACAAGGUCCAGUUCUGACACUGGCCCGGCUGUACUCUGACUGAGAUUUCAAGUGGCCGACAUCUCUUCCUGUGAAUUAUUCAAUUCAAUUGAAUUCAGUUUUAUUUAUAUAGUACCAAAACAAUAGAAUUGUCUCAAGAUGUAUUAUUAUAUUAUUAUCCCCAACCCACAGCUGUGCAGAUAUAGUUAUGGAUUUAUUACGUUUGUCUUUUCAACUGUCUGUCUUAUUAACUGCUAAGUUUAACCACUGACAUAGUGGUCUUCUUGAACUGAGCUGAAACUUCAACUUUGUCUAAAUGGAACACUAAGAAUAUUUGAAUUGUACUGGUUUAAAGUGUAUGAAUUCACACAAAAGAAAUAAAAUCUCUAAUGUAACCACACACAAAAAAUGGUUCUGGUUUCUUUUGACUUUCGAGGUGAAUGAAUACUCUCCCUGAGAAGAAUCCUUGACACUCGUACAAACUUGAGAACACUAGCACAUUAGCAGCAGGCACUGCUGUAACGCUGCCCUCCAGUGGCCAGACUGAAAGCUUAAUGGGGCAAAAUGUCAUUUUUCUAGACUAGAGCCGAGACCCAUACCAGUGAAUUCUGCUUCUUGUUUCAGACCUUUCAUUGUAUGUCUUUAUAUUCAUCCUUCCAUGGACAAUGUGAGUAAAUGCAUAACCAACACCAGACUCAGGAUGAUACACACAAGGACA
This is a long non-coding RNA of Clupea harengus (Atlantic herring), 2657 nucleotides long. Lineage: Eukaryota; Metazoa; Chordata; Actinopteri; Clupeiformes; Clupeidae. The record is from Ensembl.